AGAGCGACGAGUUCGAUGACAAGAUGAAGGAAUUGGAGGGUAUCUGCAACCCCAUCAUCGCCAGAAUGUACCAGGGAGGUGCAGGAGGUGAGGGUGCUCCUCCAUCCUACGGAGGAAGCGACUCACCCCCAUCCGGUGCUGGCCCAAAGAUCGAGGAGGUCGACUAAAUGGAAUACGCAAAUACCCUAAUUUUUUGAUUGUGAGUUGGUUCUGUGUGGGAUUGUAC
RNAcentral lists this long non-coding RNA (226 nucleotides) under Physcomitrium patens. RNAcentral's name for it is "long non-coding RNA (PPAT_LNC004970)". The record is from RNAcentral. Lineage: Eukaryota; Viridiplantae; Streptophyta; Bryopsida; Funariales; Funariaceae.